CAAAGUAUAGCUUAACUGAAAGCUCCUCGCUUACACCGAAACCAUGUCCGUGAAAACCAGACUACUUUGA
Molecule: transfer RNA, 70 nt
Filed under: Allobates caeruleodactylus
Lineage: Eukaryota; Metazoa; Chordata; Amphibia; Anura; Aromobatidae
Description: tRNA-Val
Source: RNAcentral